GCACCCUACAUUUCGACCUCGGAUCAGGUAGGGAUACCCGCUGAACUUAAGCAUAUCAAUAAGCGGAGGAAAAGAAACCAACAGGGAUUGCCUCAGUAACGGCGAGUGAAGCGGCAACAGCUCAAAUA
This 128-nucleotide ribosomal RNA is filed under the name Pertusaria excludens. Its description in RNAcentral is "partial 28S ribosomal RNA". The stretch from base 14 to 128 matches the Rfam family "Eukaryotic large subunit ribosomal RNA", at positions 1 to 115 of the family's 3401-position model. Lineage: Eukaryota; Fungi; Ascomycota; Lecanoromycetes; Pertusariales; Pertusariaceae. The record is from RNAcentral.